Molecule: ribosomal RNA, 253 nt
Filed under: uncultured bacterium
Lineage: Bacteria
Description: partial 16S ribosomal RNA
Rfam family: Bacterial small subunit ribosomal RNA
Source: RNAcentral
UACGGGGGGGGCAAGCGUUGUUCGGAAUUACUGGGCGUAAAGGGCUCGUAGGUGGCCAACUAAGUCGGACGUGAAAUCCCUCGGCUCAACCGGGGAACUGCGUCUGAGACUGGCGAGCUCGAGUGCAGGAGAGGAACGCGGAAUUCCAGGUGUAGCGGUGAAAUGCGUAGAUAUCUGGAGGAACACCGGUGGCGAAGGCGGCGUUCUGGACUGCAACUGACACUGUAAAACGAAAGCCAGGGGAGCAAACGGG